GAGGCUUAACACAUGCAAGUCGAGGGGCAGCAUGGUCUUUUCUUGCUAAGGCCGAUGGCGACCGGCGCACGGGUGAGUAACACGUAUCCAACCUGCCGUCUACUCUUGGACAGCCUUCUGAAAGGAAGAUUAAUACAAGAUGGCAUCAUGAGUCCACAUGUUCACAUGAUUAAAGGUAUUCCGGUAGACGAUGGGGAUGCGUUCCAUUAGAUAGUAGGCGGGGUAACGGCCCACCUAGUCUUCGAUGGAUAGGGGUUCUGAGAGGAAGGUCCCCCACAUUGGAACUGAGACACGGUCCAAACUCCUACGGGAGGCAGCAGUGAGGAAUAUUGGUCAAUGGGCGAGAGCCUGAACCAGCCAAGUAGCGUGAAGGAUGACUGCCCUAUGGGUUGUAAACUUCUUUUAUAAAGGAAUAAAGUCGGGUAUGCAUACCCGUUUGCAUGUACUUUAUGAAUAAGGAUCGGCUAACUCCGUGCCAGCAGCCGCGGUAAUACGGAGGAUCCGAGCGUUAUCCGGAUUUAUUGGGUUUAAAGGGAGCGUAGAUGGAUGUUUAAGUCAGUUGUGAAAGUUUGCGGCUCAACCGUAAAAUUGCAGUUGAUACUGGAUAUCUUGAGUGCAGUUGAGGCAGGCGGAAUUCGUGGUGUAGCGGUGAAAUGCUUAGAUAUCACGAAGAACUCCGAUUGCGAAGGCAGCCUGCUAAGCUGCAACUGACAUUGAGGCUCGAAAGUGUGGGUAUCAAACAGGAUUAGAUACCCUGGUAGUCCACACGGUAAACGAUGAAUACUCGCUGUUUGCGAUAUACAGCAAGCGGCCAAGCGAAAGCGUUAAGUAUUCCACCUGGGGAGUACGCCGGCAACGGUGAAACUCAAAGGAAUUGACGGGGGCCCGCACAAGCGGAGGAACAUGUGGUUUAAUUCGAUGAUACGCGAGGAACCUUACCCGGGCUUAAAUUGCAGAUGAAUUACGGUGAAAGCCGUAAGCCGCAAGGCAUCUGUGAAGGUGCUGCAUGGUUGUCGUCAGCUCGUGCCGUGAGGUGUCGGCUUAAGUGCCAUAACGAGCGCAACCCUUGUUGUCAGUUACUAACAGGUCAUGCUGAGGGCUCUGACAAGACUGCCAUCGUAAGAUGUGAGGAAGGUGGGGAUGACGUCAAAUCAGCACGGCCCUUACGUCCGGGGCUACACACGUGUUACAAUGGGGGGUACAGAGGGCCGCUACCACGCGAGUGGAUGCCAAUCCCAAAAACCUCUCUCAGUUCGGACUGGAGUCUGCAACCCGACUCCACGAAGCUGGAUUCGCUAGUAAUCGCGCAUCAGCCACGGCGCGGUGAAUACGUUCCCGGGCCUUGUACACACCGCCCGUCAAGCCAUGGGAGCCGGGGGUACCUGAAGUGCGUAACCGCGAGGAGCGCCCUAGGGUAAAACUGGUGACUGG
Molecule: ribosomal RNA, 1431 nt
Filed under: uncultured organism
Description: SSU rRNA
Rfam family: Bacterial small subunit ribosomal RNA
Source: RNAcentral